AGCAGGAUCAGCGGAGGUGGGCUCAGAGUUCACAGCCUCACAGCACUGCUCUGCAAAGCCAGCAUCAUCUCAAGCCUCCUGGGUCAGCGCGUAGUGUGACGCAAACAUGUGGACAGACAACCAGGUUGCGGCCCAACAGAUCUCGUGGAUUGGCACCUGCGCCAGGAAGGCAGCCUGCACCCUAGUUGAAUGAGCCAUCACAAUCACCAGCUCAUAGCAGCAGCGGAUGCAGGCCGUGAUCCAAGAUGAGAUUCUCUGGGCUGACACUGGGCAACCUUUCAUGCUAUCCAUGACAGCAACAAACAACUGUGUUGACUUACAGAACGACUUUGUUCUAUCAAAGUAGAAGGCCAGCGCCCAUCUGACACCCAGGAUAUGCAGCCUGCACUCCUCAUCCAUCGCAUGAGGCUUUGGACAGAGGACUGGCCCAGAUCAUUGCAGACGGACCACACCAGGCCGAAGCUCCGUCGGACCUGACCUGCUCCAGAGACCUGCCUUUGAUGAGCCAGUCAUCAAGAUAUGGGAAGAGCUGGACCCCCCCGCCCCCGACGUCUCAGGGCUCGGCUGCCGAAGGGCAAGUCCUGUAUUGACUGCUGAGCCUCAGAUGACAAGCCAGAGAGGAGCAGCCAAGAGGCUCACUGCAUGGAGAUAGUGGAAGCCAUGAUGCGGGCAGCAGCAUCAGUGGCGUCCGACACUGCCUGGAGGGCUGCCCUGGCUGCGGUCGUGCCCUCAUCGAGGAUCGCUUGAAACCCCUUCUUGGAAGCCUCAGGGAGCGACCCUUCAAACUUGGCCAUGGCUUGCCACAUAUUGAAGUGAUACCAGCCAAGGAGGGCUUGGUGGUUGGCCACUCUCAGCUGAAGGCUGGAAGACAAAUAAAUUUUGCAUCCAAAGAGAUCCAGCCUCCUCGAGUCUUUAUUUUUGGGGGUGGCCCCGGGUUGCCCUUGCCUCUCUUUGUGGUUAACUGCCUCUACCACAAGGGAAUUGGGGGCAGAGAGGGAAUGUAAGUAUUCAUGGCCCUUGGUUGGCACAAAAUACCUGCAUUUGGAUCUCUUAAAGAUAGGGGCCAGGGAGGAGGGGGUCUGCCACAGGGCACUAGUGAUUUUGGAAACUCCUUAUGAAGGGGUAGGGCCACCCUGGCAGGAGCUGAGGAGCAGAGAACAUCAAACAGAGAGUUAGAGGGCUCUUCCAGUUCCUCUGCCUGAAGCCCCAGGUUGGAAGCGAUCCUCUACAAAAGUUCCUGGUGCACUUUGGCAUCAUCCUGAGGAACCGGGUGAGGGUGCCCCAUGAUUGCCUUGUCUGGCGACGAUAAGGAUGAUGCCGGUGCUGCGGAAACCUCCAUGUCCAUUGGUGGUCCAACAGCUUGCUCCCCUGGGUCCUCCUGGACCUGUGGGGUCUUUCUUACCUCCCAAAGCUUUGAGCACCAGACUGGCUACCGAGGCUGCUGGCCUCUCUGAGGCUCCCGACACUGAUUGGGCAGCCUGGGACAGUUGGGUGAACCCCCAAGGGUUCCAUGGGUACCAUGACACUGCCCACUGCACUUGGGGCCAUGGAACCAGCGUUGGUGCCGUUGAUGCCGGCGUCACUGUAGGUACCGGGGCUUAUCCCGCAGUCAGGGAACAUUGCUCUGUACCAGAGCUGUAAGUGGAGCGGUUGGUACUGGGCAACUAGGAACGGGCGGAGCGGUGGCUCUUGUCUGACUGGUGCCAGUUGCUGUGACCCGAAGCUGACCUGUCUGAGCGAGUCAGGCAUCUUGGUUGGGGUUUCGGAGACCGACGGCGUUCGGCGGAUCUGCGUCAGACACCCAGGGAUCCAUGCCUCAUGCUGCUUGACUGGUACCGGGAUGUCGAACAGGACUGAGAGCCACUACAGGCCAGCUGUCAGGAGGAACCUCCUGAGAAAGGUCAUCUCCUCCUGGGAGACAGAUGACGACAACCGGGCAAUCGGCGAUCUCUGCUCCCCAAUCAGUUCUGUGAUUGGUACUGGGCCCUUGGAGACAGUUGGGGCCAGUCCUGGAGAUCUUGCCAGACUGCACAUGCCCCAGAGGGUUUGUGCCAAUCCAUCAGCAAGGAAUGCCUUGAAUCCCUCAAUUGGUGGCCCCAGCGUGGGUUAUGAAGGGGGCUCCGCUGAGCCUGUCUCUCUAGUCCCGAGGCAUAACGGCUUUGCACAGGCAAGCAAGGGUGGGACAUCCCUCUCGAUGGGGAACAGUGCCGCUGAGGCAGGGACACACAUAGGUCCCAAAGUCGGUUUUCCCCGAGACUGGGGUACCACUGGAGCGGGUGUGGGUGGCACUGGGAGCGUCAGGAUCUCCUGAGCUGCUUGAAGGGCUUCAGGCAUCUGAAGCUGGUCAUGGCCUGCACCGCUGUCUGGAGUCGCAGACGAAGUACAGGAUGGGCUGCACCGCUUGACUUGAGCUGGAGCCCAACUUCCUGAAGGGGGUAUUGAGCAGCCCGGCACGGGGCAUGGCUCGUCCCCAAUCCUCUCCUUUCCCUUGCGAGAGGUAGACCAUCCCUUCACAUUCUUCUUUGGCUUCAUGACCAGAGCCAUGGAGGGUGGACGGCACCGGCAGAACACUGCACACGGAGGCCAAGAUGCUCAGUGUGGAGUCGGGCUGCUGCUCUGGUGCUGGAGUGAGUGCCGACUCCAUUAGGAGCACUCUUAGACUGAUAUUGCACUCCUUC
Chelonia mydas (Green sea turtle) is the source of this 2678-nucleotide long non-coding RNA. RefSeq lists it as uncharacterized. NCBI's taxonomy places the organism in Eukaryota, Metazoa, Chordata, Testudines, Cheloniidae. The record is from RefSeq and is a predicted model, not a curated record. The transcript has 3 exons.